GAUGAACGCUAGCGGCAGGCUUAACACAUGCAAGUCGAGGGGUAGAGGAAGCUUGCUUCCUUGAGACCGGCGCACGGGUGCGUAACGCGUAUACAAUCUACCUUUUACAGAGGGAUAGCCCCAGAGAAAUUUGGAUUAAUACCUCAUAGUAUUUUCGGAUCGCAUGAUUUGAUUAUUAAAGUUCCAACGGUAAAGAUGAGUAUGCGUCCCAUUAGCUAGAUGGUAAGGUAACGGCUUACCAUGGCAAUGAUGGGUAGGGGUCCUGAGAGGGAGAUCCCCCACACUGGUACUGAGACACGGACCAGACUCCUACGGGAGGCAGCAGUGAGGAAUAUUGGACAAUGGGCGGCAAGCCUGAUCCAGCCAUGCCGCGUGCAGGAAGAAGCAUCUAUGGUGUGUAAACUGCUUUGUACGGGAAGAAACACUCCUACGUGUAGGAGCUUGACGUACCGUAAGAAUAAGGAUCGGCUAAACUCCGUGCCAGCAGCC
This 489-nucleotide ribosomal RNA is filed under the name uncultured bacterium. Its description in RNAcentral is "bacterial SSU rRNA". It matches the Rfam family "Bacterial small subunit ribosomal RNA", at positions 28 to 516 of the family's 1533-position model. The record is from RNAcentral.